UUUGCAGAGAUGCGAAUGUGCCUUCGGGAACUGUGAGACAGGUGCUGCAUGGCUGUCGUCAGCUCGUGUUGUGAAAUGUUGGGUUAAGUCCCGCAACGAGCGCAACCCUUAUCCUUUGUUGCCAGCGGUCCGGCCGGGAACUCAAAGGAGACUGCCAGUGAUAAACUGGAGGAAGGUGGGGAUGACGUCAAGUCAUCAUGGCCCUUACGACCAGGGCUACACACGUGCUACAAUGGCGCAUACAAAGAGAAGCGACCUCGCGAGAGCAAGCGGACCUCAUAAAGUGCGUCGUAGUCCGGACUGGAGUCUGCAACUCGACUCCAUGAAGUCGGAAUCGCUAGUAAUCGUGGAUCAGAAUGCCACGGUGAAUACGUUCCCGGGCCUUGUACACACCGCCCGUCACACCAUGGGAGUGGGUUGCAAAAGAAGUAGGUAGCUUAACCUUCGGGAGGGCGCUUACCACUUUGUGAUUCAUGACUGGGGUGAAGUCGUAACAAGGUAACCGUAGGGGAACCUGCGGUUGGA
RNAcentral lists this ribosomal RNA (525 nucleotides) under Salmonella enterica. RNAcentral's name for it is "bacterial SSU rRNA". It matches the Rfam family "Bacterial small subunit ribosomal RNA", at positions 997 to 1522 of the family's 1533-position model. Lineage: Bacteria; Pseudomonadati; Pseudomonadota; Gammaproteobacteria; Enterobacterales; Enterobacteriaceae. RNAcentral also lists the same sequence under 1 other name. The record is from RNAcentral.